This 478-nucleotide ribosomal RNA is filed under the name uncultured bacterium. RNAcentral describes it as "partial 16S ribosomal RNA". It matches the Rfam family "Bacterial small subunit ribosomal RNA", at positions 28 to 523 of the family's 1533-position model. The record is from RNAcentral.
GACGAACGCUGGCGGCGUGCUUAACACAUGCAAGUCGAACGGUAAGGCCCUUCGGGGUACACGAGUGGCGAACGGGUGAGUAACACGUGGGUGAUCUGCCCUGCACUUCGGGAUAAGCCUGGGAAACUGGGUCUAAUACCGGAUAGGACCACUGCCUGCAUGGGUGGUGGUGGAAAGCUUUUGCGGUGUGGGAUGGGCCCGCGGCCUAUCAGCUUGGUGGUGGGGUGAUGGCCUACCAAGGCGACGACGGGUAGCCGGCCUGAGAGGGUGACCGGCCCACCGGGGACUGAAAUCCGGCCCCGCCUCCGCCGGGGGGCAGCGGGGGGAAAUAUUGCAAAAGGGGCGAAAGCCUGAUGCAGCGACGCCGCGUGAGGGAUGACGGCCUUGGGGUUGAAACCCUUUUUCGGCACCGACGAGGCGAAGGUGACGGUAGGUGCAGAAGAAGGCCCGGCAAACUCCGUGCCACCCCCCGCCGUAA